Molecule: small nuclear RNA, 165 nt
Organism: Propithecus coquereli (Coquerel's sifaka)
Lineage: Eukaryota; Metazoa; Chordata; Mammalia; Primates; Indriidae
Gene: U1
Rfam family: U1 spliceosomal RNA
About the family: U1 is a small nuclear RNA (snRNA) component of the spliceosome (involved in pre-mRNA splicing). Its 5' end forms complementary base pairs with the 5' splice junction, thus defining the 5' donor site of an intron.
Source: Ensembl
ACACUUACCUGGCAAGAGAGGUACCAUGAUCACGAAGGUGGUUUAUUCAGGGUGCGGCUCAUCCACUGCACUCCAGGUGUGCUGACCCCUGCGAUUUCCCCAAAUGCAGGAAACCCGACUGUGUGAUUUGCGGUAGUUGGGGGCUACGUUCAUACUUUCCCCCGA